Medicago truncatula (barrel medic) is the source of this 107-nucleotide small nucleolar RNA. It matches the Rfam family "Plant small nucleolar RNA R71". From Rfam's summary of the family: R71 is a member of the C/D box family of snoRNAs containing the C (UGAUGA) and D (CUGA) box motifs. Multiple nearly identical copies of this snoRNA have been identified in Arabidopsis, and it is thought to function as a 2'-O-ribose methylation guide for 18S ribosomal RNA. NCBI's taxonomy places the organism in Eukaryota, Viridiplantae, Streptophyta, Magnoliopsida, Fabales, Fabaceae. The record is from Rfam.
AAACCAUGGUGGGGGCAAAGCCUAAGCAUUUCCUUGAAACGCUCCCACACAUCGUAAAGAGAUCCCCCAUCUCUUUAAGUGAAUUGUGUUAUUUGAUCCCUCAAUUG